GACGAACGCUGGCGGCGUGCUUAACACAUGCAAGUCGAACGGAAAGGCCCUGCUUUUGUGGGGUGCUCGAGUGGCGAACGGGUGAGUAACACGUGAGUAACCUGCCCUUGACUUUGGGAUAACUUCAGGAAACUGGGGCUAAUACCGGAUAGGAGCUCCUGCUGCAUGGUGGGGGUUGGAAAGUUUCGGCGGUUGGGGAUGGACUCGCGGCUUAUCAGCUUGUUGGUGGUGUAGUGGCUUACCAAGGCUUUGACGGGUAGCCGGCCUGAGAGGGUGACCGGCCACAUUGGGACUGAGAUACGGCCCAGACUCCUACGGGAGGCAGCAGUGGGGAAUAUUGCACAAUGGGCGGAAGCCUGAUGCAGCAACGCCGCGUGCGGGAUGACGGCCUUCGGGUUGUAAACCGCUUUCGCCUGUGACGAAGCGUGAGUGACGGUAAUGGGUAAAGAAGCACCGGCUAACUACGUGCCAGCAGCCGCGGUGAUACGUAGGGUGCGAGCGUUGUCCGGAUUUAUUGGGCGUAAAGGGCUCGUAGGUGGUUGAUCGCGUCGGAAGUGUAAUCUUGGGGCUUAACCCUGAGCGUGCUUUCGAUACGGGUUGACUUGAGGAAGGUAGGGGAGAAUGGAAUUCCUGGUGGAGCGGUGGAAUGCGCAGAUAUCAGGAGGAACACCAGUGGCGAAGGCGGUUCUCUGGGCCUUUCCUGACGCUGAGGAGCGAAAGCGUGGGGAGCGAACAGGCUUAGAUACCCUGGUAGUCCACGCUGUAAACGGUGGGUACUAGGUGUGGGGUCCAUUCCACGGGUUCCGUGCCGUAGCUAACGCUUUAAGUACCCCGCCUGGGGAGUACGGCCGCAAGGCUAAAACUCAAAGGAAUUGACGGGGCCCCGCACAAGCGGCGGAGCAUGCGGAUUAAUUCGAUGCAACGCGUAGAACCUUACCUGGGUUUGACAUGGAUCGGGAGUGCUCAGAGAUGGGUGUGCCUCUUUUGGGGUCGGUUCACAGGUGGUGCAUGCCUGUCGUCAGCUCGUGUCGUGAGAUGUUGGGUUAAGUCCCGCAACGAGCGCAACCCUUGUUCACUGUUGCCAGCACGUUAUGGUGGGGACUCAGUGGAGACCGCCGGGGUCAACUCGGAGGAAGGUGGGGAUGACGUCAAGUCCUCAUGCCCCUUAUGUCCAGGGCUUCACGCAUGCUACAAUGGCUGGUACAGAGAGUGGCGAGCCUGUGAGGGUGAGCGAAUCUCGGAAAGCCGGUCUCAGUUCGGAUUGGGGUCUGCAACUCGACCUCAUGAAGUCGGAGUCGCUAGUAAUCGCAGAUCAGCAACGCUGCGGUGAAUACGUUCCCGGG
RNAcentral lists this ribosomal RNA (1343 nucleotides) under uncultured bacterium. Its description in RNAcentral is "16S ribosomal RNA". It matches the Rfam family "Bacterial small subunit ribosomal RNA", at positions 28 to 1378 of the family's 1533-position model. The record is from RNAcentral.